This 376-nucleotide ribosomal RNA is filed under the name uncultured bacterium. RNAcentral's name for it is "bacterial SSU rRNA". It matches the Rfam family "Bacterial small subunit ribosomal RNA", at positions 29 to 431 of the family's 1533-position model. The record is from RNAcentral.
AGCGAACGCUGGCGGCAGGCUUAACACAUGCAAGUCGAACGGGCGUAGCAAUACGUCAGUGGCAGACGGGUGAGUAACGCGUGGGAACGUACCUUUUGGUCGGAACAACCCAGGGAAACUUGGGCUAAUACCGGAUAAGCCCUUACGGGGAAAGAUUUAUCGCCGAAAGAUCGGCCCGCGUCUGAUUAGCUAGUUGGUGAGGUAACGGCUCACCAAGGCGACGAUCAGUAGCUGGUCUGAGAGGAUGAUCAGCCACAUUGGGACUGAGACACGGCCCAAACUCCUACGGGAGGCAGCAGUGGGGAAUAUUGGACAAUGGGCGCAAGCCUGAUCCAGCCAUGCCGCGUGAGUGAUGAAGGCCCUAGGGUUGUAAAGC